GAUGAAGAACGCAGCAAAAUGCGAUAAGUAAUGUGAAUUGCAGAAUUCAGUGAAUCAUCGAAUCUUUGAACGCACAUUGCGCCCGCCAGUAUUCUGGCGGGCAUGCCUGUUCGAGCGUCAUUUCAACCCUCAAGCACAGCUUGGUGUUGGGACUCGCGUUAAUUCGCGUUCCUCAAAUUGAUUGGCGGUCACGUCGAGCUUCCAUAGCGUAGUAGUAAAACCCUCGUUACUGGUAAUCGUCGCGGCCACGCCGUUAAACCCCAACUUCUGAAUGUUGACCUCGGAUCAGGUAGGAAUACUCGCUGAACUUAAGCAUAUCAAUAAGCGGAGGA
This 332-nucleotide unclassified non-coding RNA is filed under the name soil metagenome. Its description in RNAcentral is "partial contains 5.8S ribosomal RNA, internal transcribed spacer 2, and large subunit ribosomal RNA". The stretch from base 1 to 120 matches the Rfam family "5.8S ribosomal RNA", at positions 35 to 154 of the family's 154-position model. The record is from RNAcentral.